GAUGAACGCUGGCGGCGUGCCUAAUACAUGCAAGUCGAGCGAACAGACGAGGAGCUUGCUCCUCUGACGUUAGCGGCGGACGGGUGAGUAACACGUGGAUAACCUACCUAUAAGACUGGGAUAACUUCGGGAAACCGGAGCUAAUACCGGAUAAUAUAUUGAACCGCAUUGUUCAAUAGUGAAAGACGGUUUUGCUGUCACUUAUAGAUGGAUCCGCGCCGCAUUAGCUAGUUGGUAAGGUAACGGCUUACCAAGGCAACGAUGCGUAGCCGACCUGAGAGGGUGUUCGGCCACACUAGAACGGAACCACGGUCCAGACGCCUACGGUAGGGAGCAGAGGAGAAUCGUCGGCAGUAGGGGAAAACCUAGCGGAACAGCGCCACGUAUGUGGUAGGGAUAUUCGGUUCGUGAAACUGGCUUUUUAGGGAAAAACAAGUUUGUAGUAUACCAUACAGUUAUUGACGGUACCUGAUCAGAAAGCACCGGCUAACUACGUG
Molecule: ribosomal RNA, 497 nt
Filed under: uncultured bacterium
Lineage: Bacteria
Description: partial 16S ribosomal RNA
Rfam family: Bacterial small subunit ribosomal RNA
Source: RNAcentral